GAUGAGUUGAUUUUUCCGCAUUUUAAUAUUCUUUCAUUCAUAGAGAUGGAUGCCGAGGCUUUUUAGGUCGGGUAGAAUCUGCAAUCUCUGACACAGUUUGUUUGUUGGCUUCCAUGGCUACAAUACGCUGUGUUUUCUGCCAACCGGCAACCUGGGGUGUCGAAAUACUAUUUGGUGAACUGGCAACGUGCGGUAUCGCACAGACCAAAACAAAAACAGAUAUUCCGACACGGAACGCACAUUUCAAAGUAAAAUAAUUGGCUGUAGCAUUGUUUUUCAGAGAAACAAGUGUGUGAACAUACCAUGUUUCCUAAAUAUCUGCAAACAUAUUAUGGUGUUUUUAUGCUUUAGUAAAGUGAAAAACGUACAUACAGCACCUUUAAAAUGGGUUUUUCAUUAAAUUCAAUUUUGUAAUUCAACUUCAUGUUACUUCAAAUCAAAUUCAUUUAAAAAAUGUUUGAAAAUUUGGCCAAAAUGAGGUGUCUGUAGGGUCAGUGUAAUUAUUUGGAAUAGCAUGUCUGGGAUUUAAUUAUGACACUUUGCUAUCAAUGCUAUCAAAAGACGGCUCACUGGAUUUUAGAACACAGCUAUUGUCUCUUGUAUUACAGACACAGUCAAAGUCAAGUCUUUUCUCUUGCUUAUAGAGCUUCAGUGUUCCCUUGUGUUCUGUCAAAGGCAAACAAAUGGAAAUAGCCGGAUAUGGAAUUGGAAUGGGAAUAAUCAUCAUACAUUACACUGACAGAUGCAAUAAUUAUAUAACUAUGGCUGUUUGAUUAAUACCUCAUUCUUGCGUAACUGCUUUGUGGACCAAAUACCACUUUGCUUCCAUAGAGGCCUUUUCUGUUCUAAUGAAAGUCCCGGGCCAGGUUGCAACAACUCCUUUAAGCUGAGAAAACCCUUAGUUAUAAUGAAGAAGGAAAGUCAUACAGGUUUGGAACAGCAUGAGGGAGAACUUCGGCCCACUUUGAGCUCAUGGUUGAUGAGCCGGUAGAGGAGGAGCAAGACUAGGAGGAGUCCUCUCUUACCCAGGGGCUGUCCGAGGGAAACUAGCCUGCUCUGAAAACCUCCUACUCAUUCCAACUCCAGAGAGGGAACACUGUGAUGAUAGGGGAGACUGGAAUGGCGCUUGGAGGCCAAACUCCAUAGCUCAAAGAAAGCAGACCAGAAGUGGCCUCAUCCUAUGCUGUGUCGUAAGCCUAUGUGUUCAGAUGACCUCUUCAAACCACCUGCGGUCCCAUCCUCGUCCCCUCCUGCAUUCCAGGAUUAAAGAAAGACAAGAGGAAAGGAUUUGCAAUCAGGAUCAGGAACUGACAUAAGUCGGACUGACAUGACCACCAUUGCUGAAUGGAAUUUCUUCAAAAAGAGGAAAUAUUGGUGAAAUGAAGUAUACAUCGCUGACCCCAAUGCCCUCUGAAGCCCUCGACACUAACAGACGGGGAACCUCUGCGGCCUGGUCUGGAGAAGGCAUCUCACCUGGG
Long non-coding RNA from Ctenopharyngodon idella (grass carp), 1478 nucleotides. RefSeq lists it as uncharacterized. The record is from RefSeq and is a predicted model, not a curated record. The transcript has 7 exons. Lineage: Eukaryota; Metazoa; Chordata; Actinopteri; Cypriniformes; Xenocyprididae.